This 555-nucleotide ribosomal RNA is filed under the name uncultured organism. Its description in RNAcentral is "bacterial SSU rRNA". It matches the Rfam family "Bacterial small subunit ribosomal RNA", at positions 152 to 720 of the family's 1533-position model. The record is from RNAcentral.
GGAAACCGGUGGUAAUACCUCAUGACCCCACGGAUGUCGCAUGUCAGCCGGGGCAUACGGUUUACCGCCCGGGGAUCGGGAAACGUCCUAUCAGGUAGUUGGUGAACUAACGGCUCACCAAGCCUUAGACGGGGAGCGGGCGUGAGAGCGUGACCCCUCGCAUCGGGACUGAGACACUGCCCGGACUCCUACGGGAGGCUGCAGUAACGAAUAUUCCGCAAUGCGCGAAAGCGCUGACGGAGCAAUGCCGCGUGAAGGAUCGAAGCCCCUCGGGGUGUAAACUUCUGUCAGGGAAUAGGAACAAAAUGACCGUUCCCAAAGGAAGGGCCGGCUAACUUCGUGCCAGCAUCCGCGGUAAUACGAAGGCCCCGAGCGUUGCGCGUAAUCACUGUUCUUAAAGGCUGCGUAGGCGGAACUGUAAGUACGUUGAGAAAUCCCUCGGCUCAACCGGCGAAUUGCUUGGUAUACUGCGGUUCUUGAGGCCAGCAGGGCCAGCCGGAACUCUAGGAGGAGCGUUGAAAUGCAUAGAUAUCUAGAGCGACGCCAAAGGUGAAG